AAAACAUGAUCACCUAAAAUAAAAAUAAAAUGCGUGAAAGUGAGCCUCACUUUGAUUUGCUGAUUUUAUUUGUAUGUUUUCUUGUUGUUUUU
RNAcentral lists this non-coding RNA (92 nucleotides) under uncultured eukaryote. The record is from RNAcentral.